GUGGGUGAAGUGUUGUCGGUGGCACCCCGGCUUGCCAUGCCGGGAGGGCGGGUUCGAUUCCCGUCACCCACUCCA
This 75-nucleotide transfer RNA is filed under the name Actinomadura madurae. Its description in RNAcentral is "tRNA-Gly(gcc)". It matches the Rfam family "tRNA". Rfam says of the family: Transfer RNA (tRNA) molecules are approximately 80 nucleotides in length. Their secondary structure includes four short double-helical elements and three loops (D, anti-codon, and T loops). Lineage: Bacteria; Bacillati; Actinomycetota; Actinomycetes; Streptosporangiales; Thermomonosporaceae. The record is from RNAcentral.